This 1220-nucleotide long non-coding RNA is filed under the name Sus scrofa (pig). Its description in RNAcentral is "lncRNA (ENSSSCG00070006455.1)". Lineage: Eukaryota; Metazoa; Chordata; Mammalia; Artiodactyla; Suidae. The record is from RNAcentral.
AUGUACGGUGUCUUCGAGGGGCAGGCAGCCCUGAGGACUCUUAACUGCCUGCACGGUACUAGCUGUCCCGGUCCGCAGCUGGGAGGGAAAAAGAAAGGAGGAAGCCUCACCCAUCAGGUGGCCGGUACUAAGGUGCAGAGAUGCGCUUGGUGCAGAGGGAUGACCUCCUCAUCAUCACGGAGCCCAAGUGCAUGGUCAUGUCUGUCGUUAUCGCCCAUGGAGAGAAGAGGUCUUAAGAUGCACCUGCUGACCUGCUGAUAGAUUGGGGAAAGAAGUGUCUGAUGCUACACUUGCUACAUGGUUGGGGGCUUAUCAAAGCCCCCAUAGGGGAGAGGUGAGGAGUGGGCCACAUACCUUUCUACGCAGCGGGUAAGAAGGAGCAGGAGGGGUUGCUCGAGGUGGCGAGGGGGCAUUACUGUGAGACGGGUGGGGCCAUGACAAGGGCCUGACAAUUGUUGUCAUGACCAGAGGCUUUGAGUUCUGUCUCCUUGUGGGGAACUGGAAGUCCCUCACCUAUUCCAAGGAGGCAAAGAGAAAAGGGUCCAACCCACAAAAUGUAUCCGUGGUCACAUUAUGUUGAAAUAGAGUGAGUACAUAUUUUCCCAUAAUGGUGGAAAUAGAAAUUUGGCUUUCAGUCAUGACCCAGUCACUGAUUUUCUGUCCUCUCUAUGGACAACCAUAAGUUUGCAUUAAAAACGUGCAAUAAUUAUUCUCUCCCAUUGUGCACCAGCAGGAGAUCCGCACAGGCGCAGGCGGAAACUAUCAGCUCCUGGGAGAGGACCACGCAGACAGAGUAGGGGAAACAGCCCUGGGGCUCCCACUCAGGAAGCUUUUCUCCUCUCGUUGGUUGAGAACGAAUAGAGUGUAACCAUCACCUGGGACAGUGGGGAAUGUUUUACUCAGUAAGCCCAACAAAGCUUCAAGACAAAAACCCAAAAGACCAAAGUUUGCAAAUGAGUUUCCUGCUAGCCACCUCAAGACACAUAUACUGGUAAGACUUAAAACAUUUCUUUCUCAGCACCUAUAAGAAGCAAAAUGGACAGGGUCUAGCCCCAGCCACCAAAGAAGAAGGGAGAAGGGGUGCUCGUAACGAGGAAAAUAGCAGUCUGUGGGACGUGACCCAGAAGUCCCUGGGUGAUAGAAUCGAUAGGGUUGCUGAUCGUGUUACAGGCACACACGGAGUCUCCAGUCACUGGAGAAAGAGUGAACGCGUUGAACAG